ACUUAUUUUCCUUUCCCUUUUCUUCUAUAUUUUCCCUUUCAAACUAUUCUUCCCAGAAAAUGAGAAGAAUGAAAAUAAGAAGAAGAAAAAUGAAAACAAAUUUGAAAAAAAUGAAGGAGAGGAGUUGAAAAAAGUGAAUCGAUUAUUUCUUAGGAGGAAAGAAUGAAAGAGCGGGAAGGAAGAAAGUAAUUCUGCUGAAGAUGAUUUUUGGAACCCGAGAAAUAUAAUUUAUUCUUUUCUGUUUGGUUUUUGGAUUUGGUUUUUGUUUUGAUGUGUAAUAAUUAAGGAUUAUGGAUUGUAAUGUGAAGUGGUAAUUAUUGUUGGUGAUGAUUCAGAGAUAGAGAGAAAAAGAAUGAUGAACGGUGGAGAAGGAGGAUUGGUUGGUCA
Molecule: long non-coding RNA, 387 nt
Filed under: Lupinus angustifolius (narrow-leaved blue lupine)
Lineage: Eukaryota; Viridiplantae; Streptophyta; Magnoliopsida; Fabales; Fabaceae
Description: long non-coding RNA (LANG_LNC002932)
Source: RNAcentral